Felis catus (domestic cat) is the source of this 8406-nucleotide long non-coding RNA. RefSeq lists it as uncharacterized. The record is from RefSeq and is a predicted model, not a curated record. The transcript has 2 exons. Lineage: Eukaryota; Metazoa; Chordata; Mammalia; Carnivora; Felidae.
GUUUCAGAUUCUGUGUCUCCCUCUCUCUGCCCCUUCCCCGCUCAUGCGCUCUCUCUGCCUCUCAAAAAUGAAUAAACGUUAAAAAAUUAUUUUAAAAAAAGAUAAAAACACAAAAGGCCAUAUAGAGUUGGACAAUGUACUUUCAUUCAUAUACCCCUUCAAGGGACGGGUAUCCAGAAUAUAUGAAGUACAUCUGUAUAUCAAAAGAAAAACCCUCAAUAGAAAACAGGGCAAGACUUAAACUAAAUUAGAGGGGAAAAUUUCCAUUAAACAUGGAAAGUUGCUUAAUCCCAUUUUGAAAAACUACAUCGGUUUGGAGUUCGUGUGGAACUUUAGCUCUGCUCUGCUCUAUUUUGACUGUAGCAGCAGCUGAUCAGGGGCCGGAACCUUUUAUACUUUGUAAAUAUGUGGCCUGAAAGGGGAAGUUGUGGUAAAAUACAUUGGAGCCACCAGAUGGCGCCACACUAAAGCGUGUUUCUCGCAGUCUUUGUCUUCAGAAACGUAAGAGCGAGGUGAUUUCUUAGCCGUCUUUCCCGGUAUGCCUGCAGUCCACAGUGAAAUAUUUUGAGCUCUCCUUCACAGGAGUGAUGAAACUGAAACAUUUCCAACUAGAAAAGAGAAUUUUAGACAUUCUCUUUGGAUAAACUCUGGACAGUGUGGAUGCAGUGAUUUCCUAACAUAUCAUUUGUACAUUUGUACAUAGGAUUUGGUGUUUUCCAGGGCACCUAAGGGAAAUCUUCCAGAUUUCCACCUAUGACCCAACUCUGAUGACCCAAUUCUGAGCAGGAAGGAAAAUCAGGUAACACAUAAGAACAACUCAGAUUGCUAGCAGUCUACACUGAACCACUGCCUAUUCCAUAGACUCCUGGCAGCUGUCUGUUCAGACCACUUGGUAUUUUUCGCAUUUUUAAUGUUGGCCAUUUUGGUAGAUAUGUAACGGUAUUUUAUUAUGGUUUUAGUUUUUGUUUCCCUCGUUAUAGGGAAUUGAGCUCCUUUUCAUAAUUUGUAGGCCAUUUGAUUUUCACUUUUAUGAAGUACAUUUUUUAGUCUAUUUCAUUUUUAUCUACUUGUAGAUGUUUUUAUGUAUUUUGGAUAUGACUCCUUUAUCAGUUACAUCCAUGACUAAUAACUUUUCCCACUCUAUGGCAUGCUCUGUCAUAAUGAAAAAGAAAAGUUCUUAAUUUUAAACUGGAGAAACUGCAUUACUCUUUUCCUUUAUGGUUAAUGCUUUUUCUGGUGUGAUCUAAGAAGUCUUUAUCUGCUCCAAAUUCAUUAACAUAUUUGUGCCAAUAUUUUUCAAAUACUUCAGUGUCUUACCUUUUAAAUUUGGAUCUACAGUUUAUCUGGAAUAGAAUUUGUGCCCAAUGUAAGGUAGAGGUCAGGUUCCAUUCUCUCCCCUAUGGAUUGUUCCUAUACUGUUUGUUGAAAAGAUAAAUCCUUUGUUGCAUUGAUUACAGUGCUAUGAGCCAGCUGUCUGUAUAUGUUUGAGUUAUUCAGGGGUCUGUAUUCUGUUUUAUCAGCGUAUUUAUUCUUCCCUAAUACCACAUUGUCUUCAUUGCUCUAGCAGUAAACUAUAUAUUGAUACCUGGUAGUGAAAGUUUGCUGACCCUGGUGUUUGUCCAGAAUAUUAGCUGUUCUUUAUCAUUUGCAUUUCCAAAUAAAUCUAAUGGCCAGCUUAUCAACUUACACACACACACACACAAUUGCAAUUUUGAGGAGGGUUUUUUUUUGAAAUAAUAUAACAAUUUGAAGGAAAUUAACAUAUUCAUAAAAUUUAGUCUUCUGAUCUGUGAAGCCAGUAUAUUUCUGCAUUUAUUUAGAUUUUCUCUUGACUCUCACUGUUUUAUUGUUUUGGUUUAAGGUCUUUAAUAUUUUUCAUAUAGGAUGUAUUUUUUAAGUGAUGUGAUUUAGGGCUCCCCACCCCCCCUGCUUUACUGAGGUAUGCUUGACAGAUAAAAAUUGUAUAUAUUUGAGGUAUAUGUCUUAGUUAGUUUGGGCUAAUGUAACAAAACAGUUCUGAAAGCUGGGAAGUCCAAGAUCAAGGUGCCAGCAGGCUCACUGUUCUUUGAAGGCCGCUCUCCUGGUUCAUGGAUGGUGCCUUCUUGCUUUGUCUUCACAGAGAAGGGGCUUCUAUUAUAAGGGUACUAAUCCCAUUCAUGAGGGUUUCACCCACUUGACCUAAUCACCUGCUACAGGCCUCACUUCCUAAUACCCUCACCUUUAGCGAUUAGGAUUUCAGCAUGUGAAUGGGGGUGGGGGCAUAAGCAUUCAGUGGAUGGCAGCAUACAACUGUACAACAUGAUGGUCUAAUGUAUGUGUAUGUUGUGAAAUGGUUACCACAGUUAAGCUAAUUACCGUAUUCAUUACUUCACAUACUCAUAAUCUGUGUGUGUUGAGAACACUUAAAAUCACCUCCCAUAGCAAAUUUCAUCUUUGCAGUACAGUAUUGACUCUAGUCCCUGUGCCAUAUGGUAGCACUCCAGAAUUUACUCAUCCUGCAUAAAUGAAUCUUCGUACCUUUUGACCAACAUCUUCCCGUUCCCACACCCCUCAACUCCUGGCACCCCCCAUAUUCCACACGUAAGUGAGAUCAUGCAUUCUUUGUUUUUCUGUGCCUGGCUUAUUUCACUUAGUAUAAUGUCCUCCAGGUUCAUCCAUGUUUCCCACAAAAGGCUAGAUGUUUUUUUUUUUUUCUUUUUAAAGGCUGAAUAAUAUUCCUUUGCACAUACCACAUUUUGCUUCCCCAUUCAUCAACAGAUUGUUUCCAAAUCUUGGCAGUUGUGAAUAACACUGCAGGGAACAUGGAGUUCCUGCUGUCUAUUCAGCCAACAGUAGGAAGAAGGUGGAACCCUCAGUUCUCCAGGGAAUGAAUUCUCCCCAAAUCUGGACCAGCUAGGAAGUGGCUUUUUCCCUAGGUCAGCCUCCAGAUUUGAGCACAGCACAGCUAGCAGCUUGAUUACAGCUGUGGGAGACCCUGAGCAGAUGACCCAGCCAACCUCGGCCCAAACUCCUGACCCACUGAAAUUGUGCUAUUUUGAGCUGCUGAGUUCGUGAUAAUUUACAGCAACAGAUAACUAAUAUUAUUAUUCGCUGUAUAUUCUCUCUGCCUUAGUUAGUUCUCUUAUCCACAAACAGGUUACCAGCAAUAACCUGUCUCGUAUUUAUUGUUGCUCUGCAGAUGAAGUGAGUUCACACAUGUAUAAUCCUUUGUCAGUGCCUGGCCACCUCGCACGUGCCUGUGCUGCCACUCUGUCUGCCUGCCUGCCUCUUAACCCUCAUCACACUUGGGUAGUUUUCUACCUUAAUUCUUCCAUUUCAUCUCCUUUUCUAGAAUUUCAUUUCUUGACCCAACUUGGCUGGCCAACACUCCUUUAUGUAGUGGUCACUUAUCUGACAAAAGCACCUCUUGGAAAUAUAAUCAAGAUGCUCCCCAAACUAAAAUUGGUUCCAAAUAGAAAAUGCACUAAGACUAUACUCUUAACGUGUUGAUGAGACUCAGCACUUCACUGUUUCUAAGUUAAAACACACUGGGAGUCAGAAAUUUAAUAAGUGAGUGGAGAACUAGAAAGAACCAUACUCCUAGCACUAAGAAUGUGAUGAAGGCACCCUGAGAUGGAAGGAACCUAAAAACUCGGACAAGGCACAGAGGAGCUCUAAGGUAGAGGCAGGCUGUACCCAGGGGUUCUCUGAAGGUAUCACUGAACAAAUAUAACGUCAUGUUGGGUAAGACACUCCUCUUAAUACUUUCACACUUUUAAAGACAUAUAUUAGAAAUAUCUAAUAGUUUAAAAGAUUUUUUAAAAUUUAUUAAACAUUCCUUGUUCAACAAUAAAAAUAAUUUUAAAAUGUGUAAAGGACCUAAAAGAAACUUCUCUAAAAAAGAUAAACAAAUGGUCAAUAAGCACAUGAAAAGAUGCUCAACAUCACUUAAUUAUGAGGGAAAUGGAAAUCAUAAUCACAUUAAGAUGGGUACUAUAAAAAAUAAAAUCCCAAGUGUUGGUGGAGAGGUAGAAAAAUUAGAACCCUAUGCCCUGGAGGUUCCUCCGAAAAAUUAAUAGUACCAUAUGAUCCAGCAAUCCUAUUUCUGGGAAUAUAUCCCAAGGAAUUGAGAACAGAGUCUCAGAGAGGUAUUUGCACACCCAUGCAUGAUUCACUAUAGCCAAAAGGUGGAAGAAACACAAGUGUUCAUCGAUGGAUGCAUCAAAAAAUAAUUUGUGGUAUGAACAUAAAAUGGAAUAUUAUUCAGCUUUUAAAAGAAAGGAAAUGCAGACAGCUGCUAUAACAUGAAUGAACUUUAAGAAAAGACAUUAUGCUAAGGGAAUUAAGCCAGCAAACAAAAAGAUAAACAGUGAAUGAUUUUGAUUGUGUGGGGUACCUAAUAGAGUCAAAUUCACAGGCACAGAAAGUAGAAUAGCAAUUGCCAGGGGCUAGGCAGGAGGGAAAAAUUGAGUUAUGGUUCAAUGGGUAUAGAAUUCCCAUUUGGCAAGAUGAAAAAUUUCUGGAGAUGGAUUGUAUGACGUUGCAAAUGUAUAUAACAUUCCUGAAAUGUACACUUCAAAAUGGUUAGGUUUGUGUAUUUUACCACAAUUUUUUUUAAUUGCCAAAAAAAAAAAAAAUCCAACCCAAGAAAAAUGAACAAAUGAAGUAUUUGUGGUAGGCUGAGGGAAUCGGUAGGCAGUGAUGAGUUUCAAGUCCUUUGAGACCAGAAGCAUGUUUAGGGCAACUGCACACACCUAAAAAACCCAAACUCCAAAUGAUCACUCCCCUGCAUCUCAUCCAUAAAAUCUCCUAGGGCACCAAAUAUCAAGUAGCUAGUCAGCACUGAUAUUGCACCAAGGGCAAAAAUUCACAGGGAAACUUGAACUUGGGUUUUAAGUCAAGCACUUCAUUUUGCUAAAACCCUCUAGGGCUUUGUCAUACUAAGGAGCAAAGAAAGAAGCUUUAAAAGUAGCAAUUUUUUUGUCAUUGCCAAGGUCAGACUUUAAAUCUUAAUUGAACUCAUGACUUCCUUUGAGAGGCAAAAUAAUAGACGAGAUAGCCAAAGAGCUCUUUCUGUUCCAGGAGGCACGUGGAAGGGACAGGUAUUGGGUUGUAGUCUAGAGAUCUGCCAGCAACCAAGAUGCUCAGGAUGGAGAGAGUUCCGGAAUCCUUUGUGGCCUGCUUAGAGCAGCACAUCAGGCCUCCGUUCUGGCUUCUGAUGGCCCCAAAGCCAGCAAAUCCACUGCAGCCUGGAUCUUGGGGUGGGUUCUACUGCUAAGUCAUUGGCGUUCUGGGUUUCUUUUCACUAUUUUUUAUCUUCCAAUUAAAAAAAUGUUCUGCACUAGUUACUCCUGAGCCUUGUCCUGUCUCCACCUUCUGGUUUAAAGACUACUGGGGCCUGGAAUGUUACUGCAUCGGGGCUCCUGAUGAGCAUGGGUUUGAGGCUUCAGAGUCAGGUGCCCCCCCACCUCCACUCAGGUGACAGGGAAGGAGAGUUAGAAGUGUAGCAGAGGGGCUACUGUCUUUGCUGUGAAAGCCUGUUCUCUUAGAGAUCAUGACUGGCAGGCAGCCGACCUAUGUGGACUUAACCCCAGUUCUGCCUUCUCCUUCCUUGCUUCCCUGCCUUCCCUCAUUUUAGAACAUGUCCCCAAAUCCCUUUUUUAAGGCAACCAUUCCGUCUCCAAGGCAUGGUGUUCUGGUGGGAUUUCAAGUGACAGUAACCUCCCCCUCCCCCCCCCCCCGUGUGCACACACACACACACGUAUUGUGUGCAUGACUGCAGGUGGGCCUGUGUGAGGCCUUCCUACAUUCCUUAGCAUAUAGGUGGAGGUCAAUUCCUGUGAGCUCCCAUGACACUCUUUCUCAACUACAAGACUACUACACCCAAUAAUUAGCUGUUUAACCUUGAGCAAGUUACGUACCCUCUCCAACCAUCGGUUCCAUCAUCGGUGCAAUGGGGGGUAAAAGUUCCCUAAUAGGAUGGUUGUGAGAAUGAGCACAGCCCACGCAUGCCUAGCGCAAGGCUGGCCUUUACUAAGCACGUCUUCAUCCCCUCCAUGCGGUGGCCCAAUCCUCAAAUAGCCCCACAGCCUAGCACGUCCACUGAGCUUUGCUUUCCCUCCCCUGUUAGGCCAGGUCUGUAAAGCGCUUUUGGCAAUCUGGAACUAAUAAAAGUCUAAUGAAUAAACCAAUCAUUGAACCUGUACUGGAAAUUUAUCUUCUGCAUUUAUUUCUUAAGGUUGGAAAGAAAGCAGCACUCUUAAUUAAUUUUGUACUAUCUCUUUCAGUAGGAGCGUAUGCUGGUGAUUUUCUUUUAUCAGUCCCGAAAUCCUUGUUUUUAGGAAAUAGAGGGUCUGAGGAACUUGCUCAUGAACAGCCUUGAACUAGAUUGAAACACCUGCUGAUUCUCUGGUUUUCUGUUCAGAUUUGAGAGCUGCAAGUGGCUGGCGACAAAGGAGAGAGAAACCUCCAGUGACUUCACAAGCUACUGGGCAGAGAAAGGAGGGUGCCAAUGUCAUGGAAGGCAAAGAACAGCCUGUUUUCUGAAAUCCAGGUCAAGAAGAUCAUUGAGAGGACCAACAUUACUUGGCAAGAUGCACCCAAACCUACCUGACCUAUGCACAAGUGCAGUGGAGAGUUUCUAACUGGAUGUACUGGUCAGUGUAUACGCAUUCUUUGUCCUCAGUCAGGGUUUCUCAAUGGUGGCACUCUGACAUCUGGGGGCUGGAUAGAUGUUCGGUAGCGCCCCUCCCUGAAGAUGUGACAAUGUCUCCAGACACUGCCAAGUUUUUCCUGGGGAGCAAACUUGCUGUCGUGUUGGAAAUAUUCCAGAACUGCUUAAUGUGGCAGCUCACCGCUUCCUUACUGUGUGGCUACAAAUUUAAAUUCUCUUUUAAAAAGCGAUGGGUUGUAUUUUCAGUUGUGAUUACUGUCCUAAAAAGGGGCUCUAAGAGAAAUGAAAAACCAAACCAGGAUGGAAAGAAAACAUUUAUUGAAUCAAAAUCAAUACUUUCUUUUUAAUAUCUACAAGCCAACACUGAAUGAACACAAUGUACAAAAAAAGUAUGCUUAUAUUAUAAAAAUAUGUCAAUUUUAUCUUCUGGGAGCUGAGCAGAAGUCAUUUUAAACAAAAUCAAGGCAAACUUGCUCUCUAUAAUGAAACUGCUAUAAUUUAAUAACAAAAGUAAAAGCUAAUAUAUAAAGUAUCUCCAAAGGCCCACUUGAAAGGCGAUAAUGCUGCACUGGAAAUGCCAAACCCCAUCACCACAGUUAACGUUCCCGGUCUGUGCUUACUGGCACCACUUCAUGCCUCCACCAGGGGAAAGCAGCUCUUGUAUAGAACGCAGAUCACUCUUAGAAUCCAUGGCAUCAGUUAACCCUUGUUUCAGCAAACCACUAACAGUCAAUCCUGUUUAUUUAGACUCAAUUUUAAAAUGAGACAUGUUGCCCAAAAUUUACAAUUCCACUUAGGAUGUGGGGAAGCUGCACCCUUCACACUCUUAUCUUUAACCCUCCCUAGAAAAUCUGUGUCCAAGGUUAGUAUGUUAAAACUGUACUUGUCUCCUUGAAUUUAUUGGCACCUUCCUUGGCAUAUGUUCUUGCACACAGUGUGGCUACUGCAGGUCAGUUACACGCCGAGGAGCACAGUAAUGCUCCUGGAGUAUUUGGUCCACACAGAAGAUGUUAAUUAGAAAAAGAGUAACAUCAAAUCAUGAAUUCAGCAAAAAGGAGCCUGGCUCCCUGUACUGUGAUUCCAGGAGUUAUAAGACAAGUAUAAAAGUUAUACGAAUUUUAAAAGUCAAAAUAGACUAAAGAGCAUCAGUACUGACAAGGCCAAGGUCAGCAAAUUCCAGAAUGCAGUAUCCACAGAGUAAAUUAAACUAACUGCCUAUUUUUACUACUAAGCAUAGAUGUUUUUCUUCACAGAUUCUCUCUCCGUGUGGGGUUGACACCUAAAAAGACUCAAAAGUGCAGAAACACAAGCACCGAGUUACCUAGCACCCCCACUGCACUGGGUAACUUAAAUUCAAAAGCACUGGUGGAGAAAUGCUUGCCUGUUUUGCCUAUAUAAACCCAUUGUUUAUCCAGUUACCUAAUUUCUUGGCUCUCUACAUUUUCAAUUAAGCCCCACCUGCUGCAUAAAAUGCUAACCCUACAAAGUGUAGUCAGAACUGAAUUAGACAUUGGAUUUAAACAUUUUAAUAAGACUACAAAACCACUAACUGUCUUAACACUACACCCUCAUAGGGAAGGAAAAGUACUUACAGAAUUAUCUGAAAUAUACAUAAUUUGUGAAGAACAAACAUUUUGGAGCCUGAGCAAAGGUUUCUCACCAAUGUCCUAAAGAAUCACCAGCCAGACUGUUUUCACGAGCAACGAUUCAGUCAAGUCACUAAAUUGCUCUUGGUAACUUCCACUACCCUGAAA